AAGUCGUAACAAGGUUUCCGUAGGUGAACCUGCGGAAGGAUCAUUCGCACUUAUGCAGCAGCUUAGAUUACAUGGAAACAUGAAUGAAGAGUUGACUGUUUCAAAUACCCAAAACUUAACGCGGACUGUACAACAAAAACAAACCAAAUGCCUUAUGCUGUGUUGUUAGUGGACGAACGACUUUAGUCUAUUAUUACAGUGUUUGGCGAGUUACCAUGUCGGGUAGCGAGCCUUGAUGUAUUUCGGGGUGAGCUGCUUGUUAGUAUGUUGAUUGUUCCUAGUGAUGGUGGAUUCCAUGCU
Molecule: unclassified non-coding RNA, 300 nt
Filed under: Phylloporus sp.
Lineage: Eukaryota; Fungi; Basidiomycota; Agaricomycetes; Boletales; Boletaceae
Description: partial contains small subunit ribosomal RNA and internal transcribed spacer 1
Rfam family: Eukaryotic small subunit ribosomal RNA (bases 1-46)
Source: RNAcentral